UACGUAGGAGGCAAGCGUUAUCCGGAAUGACUGGGCGUAAAGGGUGCGUAGGUGGUUUGACAAGUUGGUAGCGCAACUCCGGGGCUCAACCUCGGCACUACUACCAAAACUGUUGAACUUGAGUGCAGGAGGGGCAAAUGGAAUUCCUAGUGUAGCGGUGGAAUGCGUAGAUAUUAGGAGGAACACCAGUGGCGAAGGCGACCUGCUAGAACAUAACUGACGCUGAUGCGCGAAAGCGUGGGGAGCAAACAGG
RNAcentral lists this ribosomal RNA (253 nucleotides) under uncultured Eubacteriales bacterium. Its description in RNAcentral is "uncultured Clostridiales bacterium partial 16S ribosomal RNA". It matches the Rfam family "Bacterial small subunit ribosomal RNA", at positions 524 to 776 of the family's 1533-position model. Lineage: Bacteria; Bacillati; Bacillota; Clostridia; Eubacteriales. The record is from RNAcentral.